Long non-coding RNA from Myotis daubentonii (Daubenton's bat), 895 nucleotides. RefSeq lists it as uncharacterized. Lineage: Eukaryota; Metazoa; Chordata; Mammalia; Chiroptera; Vespertilionidae. The record is from RefSeq and is a predicted model, not a curated record.
GCGAGGCCUCCCUUCUCUCACCUGAGCGAGGCCGGGCUGGGCCGGGGCACUCGCGGGCCUCGGUCUCCACACCAGGAACCGUCUUAGCCAGCCUGGGGCAGACUUUGGAGUGGCAGUUGCUUCCGCCUUCUCUCCCGAGAAGUGCUCUGCUGUGAUCUGCUUCAGAAGCUGAAGGUGGGCUAUGAGGAGGCAGCAAAUCCAAAGCAAUCCACACUCCGGACCAUAUUUCUUCCGGAUACUGAAUACCUGGCCCCCACUAGAGCCCUACCAGAUGCCCAACUCUGAUGAGCCCUGUGUUUCCCAACUCAUGGCCUUGUUUGUCUACUGUCCUAGAAGGGACUCUUGUAAGCUCUCGGGGAACCUGAAACCAGACUGACCCAGAGACCCCGUCUACCUUCUCUCUCUCCUGGACACUUGCAUCAAACAGGAGAACGUCGCCCUUUCAUUCUCAGCUGGAUUUGUGCUCCUGCCCCAUACACACGGUUUAGUAAUAAUACACACCUAAUGGUAAAACUGUGAAGAAAACCAAGAGCGAUGAGCACAAACGUUAAGACAAGGCUACCUCUAGGGAGGAGGCUGAGGUUUUAUUUACAGAGGAGCCCUUGGAGGGUGUCUAAGGUCCUGGAAGAUCAAAGCUCACCUCCGAGGAACUCCCAAAGAGAAGAAAUAGCCAGCGGAACCCCCGGGGCCAGGCAGGAAAAGCCAGUAAACAAGUGAUUGACGCACUUUGUAGACAAGCUGGAGGGGCCUGGCGGGUCUGAUCUGCGGGCCAGUGUGGGCAGGGGAAGUGGAGGAAGCGUCCCGGUCCCGGUCCCGGAUGGACAACAUCUCAUUGUUCCUCUGGGUUCCCAGGGACUGAGGCAGGCCUCCAACCAAACAGGCUAUUUGUGUUGAU